GACUAAGCCAUGCGAGUCUAUGGACUUCGCGUCCAUGGCGGACGGCUCAGUAACACGUGGCUAACCUACCCUCAGGUGGGGGAUAACCUUGGGAAACUGAGGAUAAUACCCCAUAGGGGAAGAGGUCUGGAAUGAUCCUUCCUUGAAAGGACAUCCGCCUGAGGAUGGGGCUGCGUCCGAUUAGGUAGUUGGUGGGGUAAUGGCCCACCAAGCCUACGAUCGGUACGGGCCUUGAGAGAGGAAGCCCGGAGAUGGGGACUGAGACACGGCCCCAGGCCCUACGGGGCGCAGCAGGCGCGAAACCUCCACAAUGCACGAAAGUGCGAUGGGGGGACCCCAAGUGCCUAUGCACAGCAUAGGCUUUUCCCAAGUGUAAAUAGCUUGGGGAAUAAGGGCUGGGCAAGUCCGGUGCCAGCAGCCGCGGUAACACCGGCGGCCCGAGUGGUGGCCACUCUUAUUGGGCCUAAAGCGUCCGUAGCCGGUCCAGUAAGUCCCUGUUUAAAUCCUACGGCUCAACCGUAGGGCUGGCAGGGAUACUGCUGGACUUGGGACCGGGAGAGGACGAGGGUACUCCAGGGGUAGCGGUGAAAUGCGUUGAUCCCUGGAGGACCACCUAUGGCGAAGGCACUCGUCUGGAACGGGUCCGACGGUGAGGGACGAAAGCCAGGGGCGCGAACCGGAUUAGAUACCCGGGUAGUCCUGGCCGUAAACUCUGCGGACUAGGUGUCACCUGGGCCUUGGGCCCAGGUGGUGCCGAAGGGAAGCCAUUAAGUCCGCCGCCUGGGGAGUACGGUCGCAAGACUGAAACUUAAAGGAAUUGGCGGGGAGCACCACAAC
Molecule: ribosomal RNA, 837 nt
Filed under: Methanothermococcus sp. E1855-M
Lineage: Archaea; Methanobacteriati; Methanobacteriota; Methanococci; Methanococcales; Methanococcaceae
Description: bacterial SSU rRNA
Rfam family: Archaeal small subunit ribosomal RNA
Source: RNAcentral